This 1290-nucleotide ribosomal RNA is filed under the name Anisosticta novemdecimpunctata (water ladybird). Its description in RNAcentral is "16S ribosomal RNA". The stretch from base 1049 to 1207 matches the Rfam family "Archaeal large subunit ribosomal RNA", at positions 2544 to 2703 of the family's 2987-position model. Lineage: Eukaryota; Metazoa; Arthropoda; Insecta; Coleoptera; Coccinellidae. The record is from RNAcentral.
UGAUAUUUUAUAAUUUAUUAAUUUUAAUUUUUAAUUUAUUUUAUAAUAAAUAUAUUUAUUUUUAUUAUUAACAAGAAUAAAUUUAUUUUAUGAUAGUUAAUUAGUACUGUAGAGGAAUAUAGAGAAAUUUGGAAAAAAAGGAUUUUUUUGUACCUUGUGCAUCAGGGUUUAUUUAAUAAAUUAUAAAUUAUUAUUUUUCUCGAAUUUAAAAGAGCUAAAAUUUUAUAAAUUUUAUUGUAUCAUAAAUAUUUAUAAUAUAAUUUUAGUAAUGAAAUGUUAUUCGUUUUUAAAUAUAUCUAGUUUUUUAAGAAAUAAAUUUAAUUUAGUAAUUAAAUUUAAAAUUAUUUAUUUUUAAUGGUUUUAAUUUAAUUUUAAAUAAAUUAAGGGAUAAGCUUUAAUUUAAAAUCUUAUAAUUUAAUUUUAUAUUUAUAAUUUAUAGGAAUAAUAAUUUCUAUUUAUAAAAGUUUAUAAAAAUUUAUUAUAAUUAUAUUAAUAUUUAUAUUUUAUUUAAGUUUUUUAUUAAAAUUAAUAAUUUAAUUUUUAUUUUAUUGAAAUAGUGAUAAAAUUAGUAUUAUAAAUAUAUAUAUAUAUAUAUAUAUAUAUAUAUAUAUUAAUAUUAAUUAUAGUAAUUCGGCAAAUAUAUUUUUCACCUGUUUAUUAAAAACAUCUCUUUUUGAAUAUAAUUUAAAGUAGGGCCUGCCCACUGAUUUUAUUAAAGGGCCGCAGUAUUUUGACUGUGCAAAGGUAGCAUAAUCAUUAGUUUUUUAAUUGAAAGCUUGUAUGAAUGGUUUGAUGAAAAAAUGACUUUCUUUAAUUAAUAAAAAAAAUUUUAUUUUUAAGUUAAAAAGCUUAAAUGUUUAUAAUAGACGAGAAGACCCUAUAGAGUUUAAUUAUUAUUAUUUUAAAAAUUUUUAGAAUUUAUAAUUUUUAUUUUUAUAAUAAUUUGAUUGGGGUGAUUGAAAAAUUAAUUUAACUUUUUUUUUUAUUAAACCAUUUAUUUAUGUAUAUUUGAUCCAAUUAAUUGAUUAUAAGAAUAAAUUACCUUAGGGAUAACAGCGUUAUUUUUUUUUAGAGUUCAAAUCGAAAAAAGAGAUUGCGACCUCGAUGUUGGAUUAAAGUUAAAUUUAGGUGUAGAAGCUUAAGUAUUUGGUCUGUUCGACCAUUUAAACUUUACAUGAUCUGAGUUUAAACCGGUGUAAGCCAGGUUGGUUUCUAUCUUUAUAAAAUUUUUAGUUUUUAGUACGAAAGGACCAAAAUUAAAAUUUAAAAUUUAAUUUAAAUGAAUAAAAU